Molecule: ribosomal RNA, 792 nt
Filed under: uncultured archaeon
Lineage: Archaea
Description: bacterial SSU rRNA
Rfam family: Archaeal small subunit ribosomal RNA
Source: RNAcentral
ACGGCUCAGUAACACGUAGUCAACAUGCCCAGGGGACGUGGAUAACCUCGGGAAACUGAGAAUAAACCACGAUAGGUCAUGAUUUCUGGAAUGGAUCAUGGCCCAAAUCUACUGGGCCCCUGGAUUGGACUGCGGCCGAUCAGGCAGUUGGUGAGGUAAAGGCCCACCAAACCUAUAACCGGUACGGGCUCUGAGAGGAGAAGCCCGGAGAUGGGCACUGAGACAAGGGCCCAGGCCCUAUGGGGCGCAGCAGGCGCGAAACCUCUGCAAUAGGCGAAAGCCUGACAGGGUUACUCUGAGUGAUUUCCGCUAAGGGGAUCUUUUGGCACCUCUAAAAAUGGUGCAGAAUAAGGGGUGGGCAAGUCUGGUGUCAGCCGCCGCGGUAAUACCAGCACCCCGAGUGGUCGGGACGAUUAUUGGGCCUAAAGCAUCCGUAGCCGGUUCUGCAAGUCUUCCGUUAAAUCCAGCCGCUCAACGGAUGGGCCGCGGAGGAUACUACAGGACUAGGAGGCGGGAGAGGCAAGCGGUACUCAGUGGGUAGGGGUAAAAUCCUUUGAUCCAUUGAAGACCACCAGUGGCGAAGGCGGCUUGCCAGAACGCGCUCGACGGUGAGGGAUGAAAGCUGGGGGAGCAAACCGGAUUAGAUACCCGGGUAGUCCCAGCUGUAAACGAUGCAGACUCGGUGAUGGGCUAGCCUUGUGCCAGCCCAGUGCCGCAGGGAAGCCGUUAAGUCUGCCGCCUGGGGAGUACGGUCGCAAGACUGAAACUUAAAGGAAUUGGCGGGGGAGAAUC